RNAcentral lists this microRNA precursor (157 nucleotides) under Pelobates cultripes (western spadefoot toad). The record is from RNAcentral. Lineage: Eukaryota; Metazoa; Chordata; Amphibia; Anura; Pelobatidae.
GCAGACACAUUCCAGCCAAUCAGCAGCAGACCCUCCCUCCCAGACCCUCCCACCUCCUGGACAGCAUCCAUUUUGAAGCUGCAUUCUUAGUGAGCUGUCCAGAAGGAGGGAGGGUCUGGGAGGGAGGGUCUGCUGCUGAUUGGCUGGAAUGUGUCUG